This 380-nucleotide ribosomal RNA is filed under the name uncultured cyanobacterium. Its description in RNAcentral is "bacterial SSU rRNA". It matches the Rfam family "Bacterial small subunit ribosomal RNA", at positions 376 to 770 of the family's 1533-position model. The record is from RNAcentral. Lineage: Bacteria; Bacillati; Cyanobacteriota.
CGCAAGCCUGACGGAGCAAGACCGCGUGGGGGAGGAAAGCCUUUGGGUUGUAAACCCCUUUUCUCAGGGAAGAAGAAAGUGACGGUACCUGAGGAAUCAGCAUCGGCUAACUCCGUGCCAGCAGCCGCGGUAAGACGGAGGAUGCAAGCGUUAUCCGGAAUUAUUGGGCGUAAAGCGUCCGUAGGCGGUCAAUCAAGUCUGUCGUUAAAGACUGCAGCUUAACUGUGGGCAAGCGGUGGAAACUGGUUGACUGGAGUACGGUAGGGGUAGAGGGAAUUCCCAGUGUAGCGGUGAAAUGCGUAGAUAUUGGGAAGAACACCAGUGGCGAAGGCGCUCUACUGGGCCGUAACUGACGCUGAGGGACGAAAGCUAGGGGAGCG